CUUUGCAUGUUUCAUGCUUCCUGCAAUAGCCCAUUCAGAACUAUUGUUGUUGAAAGUAUUGUUAGUUCGCUUUCAGCAAUCAAGCGUUGGAUGGAGAAAGAUGUUGAUGAAGUGGGGAACAUCACCCGCAACAUAAAAAAAAAAAAUUAGAAGAAAAUUCACCCAUCUGAAUUUUCAGCUAGGCUGAUCUCUUAUAUAUGCAUGGUUAACAUGAGAGGUUCCUCACUUGAUGAAUGAAGUGGAUUUCACAAAUAUAAGUUGUUGGUUCCAAAGAGCCUGUUAUAAAUGGUAUGUGUAAACCAUAUGGGAGCAUCUGCUAGGGAAGAUGUUUUUGCUGCUGAUCUUAUUUUAUCUGGUAUACUCGUGCUGUGAAUUACUUGGAGUAGUGCAUAUGUAGUAUUCCAUCAAGUUUUGUUGACAUAUUUGCAUUCUGUUAUUAAUUGUGAUCCAAUCUAGCUAACAUCUGCUCAUUUGAAUUCUUUAUCUGCUAUUUUUCUAGGAUUAAGCAACACAUCAUUUACAAAUACUUGACGUGGAAAUCAAAUGCAAGAUCAACGUAUCCGGAGAGGUGUGGGGAGAUGCUGCCGGAAUUUUGGUGUGGACAUUUAAAUGGGAACAUGAAAGCAUUGCAAUCUAUCCAGUCUUAGAUGGAUGACUAAUUUAGUCAGUCAAUUAAAGAUACCAUUAGAGAUUCUAUAUGAAUCCCUAAGUCGUCAUUGCUUGUGGGGUGAGCAAUAAUGAUGUUUGUUUCAUUGUAAUUUGUCUCUUUAAUACUCUUCCUUGAAUUUCUCUUAUACCCAUUCUAGUUUAUCUCUCCUAGGAAGCUUUGUCGGGCCCACGUUGUAUUUCAACUAACUUGUCGAAUUAGCCGAGGAACAUAGCGAUGGAUAAGAAUUGGAUUAAUUUGUCAAGGUAACUCAGUAACUUCUCCUUCCAGUUGUUGUGGCCCAAUGGUUAAGAUGCAUUGUUUGAUAUGUCCUCCAAUUGCAUUGAAUGAUUUAGGAUAAGUAAUGCAUACUCAAGUGAAGCUACGGAAUUCCUUGACUUUGCAUUUACAAAUACAAGUGAUAGAGGAGGAUCCUACGUCCAUGUAAGAACUACAAUAACAACUUCCGUGUAUCUCGACAAGAAGCAUACGAUUAUAUCGUGUGUGACGGAUUUAAUACGAGUUAUACUCAUUAGCGUUUUCAUGGGGAAGCCACGUCUUCUUCUAUGCCUAAUCUGGAUCCAAACGAUCUUUUUUGCUUGACUUCUUUGGUUGCAUCAAAUAUUUUUCCUAUUGUUUAAUGUUGUGUUUGGUUACAUCAAAUAUCACGUUUCAUUAAAUUGCAUUAAUAAUCAAUCUAGUUUGGUGCAAUGAAACUUCAUGAUAUUUGGUUCAACCAAGGGCAACCUUAAUAGAAUAUCUAAAAGUGGCAUGUAGCUUAUGCGUCACGCAUCACUGGGACGAACGCUACGCUACAUGCUAUUCACUAUUUAAAGCCACAAUUUGAUUUGCACUGGUAGUUUGACUCGAAGUUUACACAAACUAUUUCAUCAUGGCUAUCUUUCUCUGCAGGUUGCAAUUGUUGUAGCACAUGAACUUGCACAUCAAUGGUUUGGAAAUCUUGUAACAACGGAAUGGUGGAUACAUUUGUGGCUUAAUGAGGGUUUCAUGACAUGGGUGAGCUAUUUAGCAACUGAUUGCUCGUUUUCUGAAUGGAAAAUUUGGACGCAAUUUCUUGACCAGACUACUCAGGGCCUUAGGCUGGACUGGCUUGCAGAAUCACAUGCUAUUGAGGUUGUACUGUGGAUGCUUGCUAUGAGGAAAGAAGAGUCAGCCAAACCUGAUACACAUGGGAUAUAUCUAUAUAUACAUGUGCAAGUGUAUGUGUGUGUCUAGGUUCCAGAGGGUCACAAAGUUUUUUUCUUUCUUUUUCUUUUAUUUUUUUUCCAGCCACAUAUUGACAAAACUUAUUUUCAUCAUAGUUUCAACCAGAAUCUCCCAGAAAAUCGUUAUCAGAAGAAAGAUAAAGGUUCCUCAUCAGAAAUUAAUCUCA
Molecule: long non-coding RNA, 2039 nt
Organism: Magnolia sinica
Lineage: Eukaryota; Viridiplantae; Streptophyta; Magnoliopsida; Magnoliales; Magnoliaceae
Exons: 4
Source: RefSeq, a predicted model, not a curated record